Molecule: ribosomal RNA, 187 nt
Filed under: uncultured rumen bacterium
Lineage: Bacteria
Description: partial 16S ribosomal RNA
Rfam family: Bacterial small subunit ribosomal RNA
Source: RNAcentral
UACGGGAGGCAGCAGUGAGGAAUAUUGGUCAAUGGGCGAGAGCCUGAACCAGCCAAGUAGCGUGCAGGAAGACGGCCCUACGGGUUGUAAACUGCUUUUAUGCGGGGAUAAAGUGCGCCACGUGUGGCGUUUUGCAGGUACCGCAUGAAUAAGGACCGGCUAAUUCCGUGCCAGCAGCCGCGGUAAU